AUUGAACGCUGGCGGCAUGCUUUACACAUGCAAGUCGAACGGUAACGGGCCGCAAGGUGCUGACGAGUGGCGAACGGGUGAGUAAUGCAUCGGAACGUGCCCAGUCGUGGGGGAUAACUACUCGAAAGAGUAGCUAAUACCGCAUACGAUCUAUGGAUGAAAGCGGGGGACCGUAAGGCCUCGCGCGAUUGGAGCGGCCGAUGUCAGAUUAGGUAGUUGGUGGGGUAAAGGCUCACCAAGCCAACGAUCUGUAGCUGGUCUGAGAGGACGACCAGCCACACUGGGACUGAGACACGGCCCAGACUCCUACGGGAGGCAGCAGUGGGGAAUUUUGGACAAUGGGCGCAAGCCUGAUCCAGCAAUGCCGCGUGCAGGAAGAAGGCCUUCGGGUUGUAAAUUGCUUUUGUACGGAACGAAACGGCUCUGGUUAAUACCCGGGGCUAAUGACGGUACCGUAAGAAUAAGCACCGGCUAACUACGUG
Molecule: ribosomal RNA, 482 nt
Filed under: uncultured bacterium
Lineage: Bacteria
Description: partial 16S ribosomal RNA
Rfam family: Bacterial small subunit ribosomal RNA
Source: RNAcentral